RNAcentral lists this ribosomal RNA (490 nucleotides) under uncultured bacterium. RNAcentral's name for it is "partial 16S ribosomal RNA". It matches the Rfam family "Bacterial small subunit ribosomal RNA", at positions 30 to 507 of the family's 1533-position model. The record is from RNAcentral.
AUUGAACGCUGGCGGCAGGCCUAACACAUGCAAGUCGAACGGUAACAGGAAGAAGCUUGCUUCUUUGCUGACGAGUGGCGGACGGGUGAGUAAUGUCUGGGAAACUGCCUGAUGGAGGGGGAUAACUACUGGAAACGGUAGCUAAUACCGCAUAACGUCGCAAGACCAAAGAGGGGGACCUUCGGGCCUCUUGCCAUCGGAUGUGCCCAGAUGGGAUUAGCUAGUAGGUGGGGUAACGGCUCACCUAGGCGACGAUCCCUAGCUGGUCUGAGGGGAAGACCAGCUACACUGGAACUGAGACACGGUCCAGACACCUACGGGAGGCAGCAGUGGGGACUAUUGCGCGAUGGGGGCAAGCCUGAUGCAGCCAUGCCGCGUGUAUGAAGAAGGCCUUCGGGUUGUAAAGUACUUUCAGCGGGGAGGAAGGGAGUAAAGUUAAUACCUUUGCUCAUUGACGUUACCCGCAGAAGAAGCACCGGCUAACUCCGUG